RNAcentral lists this ribosomal RNA (253 nucleotides) under uncultured bacterium. RNAcentral describes it as "partial 16S ribosomal RNA". It matches the Rfam family "Bacterial small subunit ribosomal RNA", at positions 524 to 776 of the family's 1533-position model. The record is from RNAcentral.
CACGUAGGGCGCAAGCGUUGUCCGGAAUUAUUGGGCGUAAAGAGCUCGUAGGCGGUCUGUCGCGUCUGCUGUGAAAUCCCGAGGCUCAACCUCGGGCUUGCAGUGGGUACGGGCAGGCUAGAGUGCGGUAGGGGAGAAUGGAACUCCUGGUGUAGCGGUGGAAUGCGCAGAUAUCAGGAAGAACACCGAUGGCGAAGGCAGUUCUCUGGGCCGUAACUGACGCUGAGGAGCGAAAGCGUGGGGAGCGAACAGG